GGCGCGGUGCCGCUUCACAGCGGCGGCAUCGAUGGGGCGGCAUCGAGUUCACCUACAGAGAGAGCGAGAAAGAUGAUAGAGAGAGAGGUUUGAUUGUGGCGUUAAUGGAGAAGAGAAAAGAUUUUUUUUUUCUUUUUACCUUUCUCUUUUUUUCUUUCGUAGGCAGGGAUGGGAUUUUUUUUAAGAAUGGGUUUGAAGGUUCAAAAAGCUCUCUGUUUGAUUUUUUUCGAAAGGUAUUUAUGGGGUGGUUGUAACCAACCUGAGGGAGACGUGCGCAUGGAUGUGCGGGAGGUUAUGGGAUCGUGGGCGGUUAGGGGAUCGUGGGAUGAUGGAAUCGUGGGUGAUCGUGAUGGGAUUGUGGGAUGAUGGGUGGUUACGAUGAGAUUGUAGAAUGAUGGGUGAUUACGAUGAGAUUAUGGGAAUAUUGCGAAUUAAUCCUUUCUCUUUACUCAUAUUACACUUUAGUCAAAAUAAUAAAAUAUUAUAUGAUUAAAGUGGAGCAUUUUGUAAAUAUAUGAAAGGGAAUGG
RNAcentral lists this long non-coding RNA (528 nucleotides) under Ananas comosus (pineapple). RNAcentral's name for it is "long non-coding RNA (ACOM_LNC020909)". The record is from RNAcentral. Lineage: Eukaryota; Viridiplantae; Streptophyta; Magnoliopsida; Poales; Bromeliaceae.